Molecule: ribosomal RNA, 406 nt
Filed under: uncultured prokaryote
Also listed under: 1 other name
Description: bacterial SSU rRNA
Rfam family: Bacterial small subunit ribosomal RNA
Source: RNAcentral
UGGGGAAUAUUGCGCAAUGGGGGAAACCCUGACGCAGCAACGCCGCGUGAGUGAAGAAGGUUUUCGGAUCGUAAAACUCUGUCUUUGGGGAAGAAUAAAUGACGGUACCCAAGGAGGAAGCCCCGGCUAACUACGUGCCAGCAGCCGCGGUAAUACGUAGGGGGCAAGCGUUGUCCGGAAUUAUUGGGCGUAAAGGGCGUGUAGGCGGUAUCGUAAGUCAGAUGUGAAAGUUUGAGGCUCAACCUCAAAAUUGCAUUUGAAACUGCAAUACUUGAGUACUGGAGAGGUAAGUGGAAUUCCUAGUGUAGCGGUGAAAUGCGUAGAUAUUAGGAGGAACACCAGUGGCGAAGGCGACUUACUGGACAGUUACUGACGCUGAGGCGCGAAAGCGUGGGGAGCAAACAGG